UCUGGUCAGGACGAACGCUGGCGGCGUGCCUAACACAUGCAAGUCGAGCGAGGAGAUUCCUUCGGGAUGAUCCUAGCGGCGGACGGGUGAGUAACACGUGGGCAACCUGCCUCAUAGAGAGGAAUAGCCUUCCGAAAGGGAGAUUAAUACCUCAUAACAUUGCAGUUUCGCAUGGAACAGCAAUUAAAGGAGUAAUCCGCUAUGAGAUGGGCCCGCGGCGCAUUAGCUAGUUGGUGAGGUAACGGCUCACCAAGGCGACGAUGCGUAGCCGACCUGAGAGGGUGAUCGGCCACAUUGGGACUGAGACACGGCCCAGACUCCUACGGGAGGCAGCAGUGGGGAAUAUUGCACAAUGGGGGAAACCCUGAUGCAAGCAACGCCGCGUGAGUGAUGACGGCCUUCGGGUUGUAAAGCUCUGUCUUCAGGGACGAUAAUGACGGUACCUGAGGAGGAAGCCACGGCUAACUACGUGCCAGCAGCCGC
RNAcentral lists this ribosomal RNA (483 nucleotides) under uncultured bacterium. Its description in RNAcentral is "bacterial SSU rRNA". It matches the Rfam family "Bacterial small subunit ribosomal RNA", at positions 19 to 518 of the family's 1533-position model. The record is from RNAcentral.